RNAcentral lists this ribosomal RNA (449 nucleotides) under uncultured bacterium. RNAcentral describes it as "partial 16S ribosomal RNA". It matches the Rfam family "Bacterial small subunit ribosomal RNA", at positions 29 to 523 of the family's 1533-position model. The record is from RNAcentral.
AGCGAACGCUGGCGGCAGGCCUAACACAUGCAAGUCGAACGGACCCUUCGGGGUUAGUGGCGGACGGGUGAGCAACACGUGGGAACGUGCCUUUAGGUUCGGAAUAGCUCCUGGAAACGGGUGGUAAUGCCGAAUGUGCCCUUCGGGGGAAAGAUUUAUCGCCUUUAGAGCGGCCCGCGUCUGAUUAGCUAGUUGGUGAGGUAAUGGCUCACCAAGGCGACGAUCAGUAGCUGGUCUGAGAGGAUGACCAGCCACAUUGGGACUGAGACACGGCCCAAACUCCUACGGGAGGCAGCAGUGGGGAAUCUUGCGCAAUGGGCGAAAGCCUGACGCAGCCAUGCCGCGUGGAUGAUGAAGGUCUUAGGAUUGUAAAAUCCUUUCACCGGUGAAGAUAAUGACUGUAGCCGGAGAAGAAGCCCCGGCUAACUUCGUGCCAGCAGCCGCCGUAA